CUAAUACAUGCAAGUAGAACGCUGAAGGAGGAGCUUGCUCUUCUGGAUGAGUUGCGAACGGGUGAGUAACGCGUAGGUAACCUGCCUGGUAGCGGGGGAUAACUAUUGGAAACGAUAGCUAAUACCGCAUAACAGUAGAUGUUGCAUGACAUUUACUUAAAAGGUGCAAUUGCACCACUACCAGAUGGACCUGCGUUGUAUUAGCUAGUUGGUGGGGUAACGGCUCACCAAGGCGACGAUACAUAGCCGACCUGAGAGGGUGAUCGGCCACACUGGGACUGAGACACGGCCCAGACUCCUACGGGAGGCAGCAGUAGGGAAUCUUCGGCAAUGGACGGAAGUCUGACCGAGCAACGCCGCGUGAGUGAAGAAGGUUUUCGGAUCGUAAAGCUCUGUUGUAAGAGAAGAACGAGUGUGAGAGUGGAAAGUUCACACUGUGACGGUAUCUUACCAGAAAGGGACGGCUAACUACGUGCCAGCAGCCGCGGUAAUACGUAGGUCCCGAGCGUUGUCCGGAUUUAUUGGGCGUAAAGCGAGCGCAGGCGGUUAGAUAAGUCUGAAGUUAAAGGCUGUGGCUUAACCAUAGUACGCUUUGGAAACUGUUUAACUUGAGUGCAAGAGGGGAGAGUGGAAUUCCAUGUGUAGCGGUGAAAUGCGUAGAUAUAUGGAGGAACACCGGUGGCGAAAGCGGCUCUCUGGCUU
RNAcentral lists this ribosomal RNA (702 nucleotides) under uncultured Bacilli bacterium. RNAcentral's name for it is "bacterial SSU rRNA". It matches the Rfam family "Bacterial small subunit ribosomal RNA", at positions 48 to 735 of the family's 1533-position model. Lineage: Bacteria; Bacillati; Bacillota; Bacilli. The record is from RNAcentral.